RNAcentral lists this ribosomal RNA (430 nucleotides) under uncultured bacterium. RNAcentral describes it as "bacterial SSU rRNA". It matches the Rfam family "Bacterial small subunit ribosomal RNA", at positions 1069 to 1506 of the family's 1533-position model. The record is from RNAcentral.
GAGAUGUUGGGUUAAGUCCCGCAACGAGCGCAACCCCUGUGUCCUGUUGCCCGCAAGGGAUCUCUGGACAGACUGCCCUGUGAAACGGGGAGGAAGGUGGGGAUGACGUCAAGUCAGUAUGGCCCUUACGGCCAGGGCUGCACACGUAUUACAAUGCCCAGUACAGAACGAACCGAAUCCGCAAGGUGGAGGAAAUCCCUAAAACUGGGCCCAGUUCGGAUUGGAGGCUGCAAUUCGCCUCCAUGAAGCCGGAAUCGCUAGUAAUGGCGCAUCAGCUACGGCGCCGUGAAUACGUUCCCGGGCCUUGUACACACCGCCCGUCACAUCAUGGGAGUCGUUUGUAGCCGAAGUACGCACGCUAACCGCAAGGAGGCAGCGUCCUACGCUAUGAGCGGUAACUGGGAUGAAGUCGUAACAAGGUAAAUGCAGA